UACGAGGGGUCCUAGCGUUGUUCGGAAUCAUUGGGCGUAAAGAGCUCGUAGGUGGCUUAGUAAGUCAGGUGUGAAAGCCCAGGGCCCAACCCUGGAAGUGCACUUGAAACUGCAUAGCUUGAGUACGGUAGAGGUAAGUGGAAUUCCUGGUGUAGUGGUGAAAUACGUAGAUAUCAGGAGGAACAUCGGUGGCGAAGGCGGCUUACUGGACCAGUACUGACACUGAGGAGCGAAAGCAUGGGGAUCAAACAGG
This 253-nucleotide ribosomal RNA is filed under the name uncultured bacterium. RNAcentral's name for it is "partial 16S ribosomal RNA". It matches the Rfam family "Bacterial small subunit ribosomal RNA", at positions 524 to 776 of the family's 1533-position model. The record is from RNAcentral.